UGCAGUCGAGCGGUAGCACAGAGAGCUUGCUCUCGGGUGACGAGCGGCGGACGGGUGAGUAAUGUCUGGGAAACUGCCUGAUGGAGGGGGAUAACUACUGGAAACGGUAGCUAAUACCGCAUAACGUCGCAAGACCAAAGUGGGGGACCUUCGGGCCUCAUGCCAUCAGAUGUGCCCAGAUGGGAUUAGCUAGUAGGUGGGGUAACGGCUCACCUAGGCGACGAUCCCUAGCUGGUCUGAGAGGAUGACCAGCCACACUGGAACUGAGACACGGUCCAGACUCCUACGGGAGGCAGCAGUGGGGAAUAUUGCACAAUGGGCGCAAGCCUGAUGCAGCCAUGCCGCGUGUGUGAAGAAGGCCUUCGGGUUGUAAAGCACUUUCAGCGGGGAGGAAGGCGUUAAGGUUAAUAACCUUGUCGAUUGACGUUACCCGCAGAAGAAGCACCGGCUAACUCCGUGCCAGCAGCCGCGGUAAUACGGAGGGUGCAAGCGUUAAUCGGAAUUACUGGGCGUAAAGCGCACGCAGGCGGUCUGUCAAGUCGGAUGUGAAAUCCCCGGGCUCAACCUGGGAACUGCAUUCGAAACUGGCAGGCUAGAGUCUUGUAGAGGGGGGUAGAAUUCCAGGUGUAGCGGUGAAAUGCGUAGAGAUCUGGAGGAAUACCGGUGGCGAAGGCGGCCCCCUGGACAAAGACUGACGCUCAGGUGCGAAAGCGUGGGGAGCAAACAGGAUUAGAUACCCUGGUAGUCCACGCCGUAAACGAUGUCGAUUUGGAGGUUGUGCCCUUGAGGCGUGGCUUCCGGAGCUAACGCGUUAAAUCGACCGCCUGGGGAGUACGGCCGCAAGGUUAAAACUCAAAUGAAUUGACGGGGGCCCGCACAAGCGGUGGAGCAUGUGGUUUAAUUCGAUGCAACGCGAAGAACCUUACCUGGUCUUGACAUCCACAGAACUUAGCAGAGAUGGUUUGGUGCCUUCGGGAACUGUGAGACAGGUGCUGCAUGGCUGUCGUCAGCUCGUGUUGUGAAAUGUUGGGUUAAGUCCCGCAACGAGCGCAACCCUUAUCCUUUGUUGCCAGCGGUUCGGCCGGGAACUCAAAGGAGACUGCCAGUGAUAAACUGGAGGAAGGUGGGGAUGACGUCAAGUCAUCAUGGCCCUUACGACCAGGGCUACACACGUGCUACAAUGGCAUAUACAAAGAGAAGCGACCUCGCGAGAGCAAGCGGACCUCAUAAAGUAUGUCGUAGUCCGGAUUGGAGUCUGCAACUCGACUCCAUGAAGUCGGAAUCGCUAGUAAUCGUAGAUCAGAAUGCUACGGUGAAUACGUUCCCGGGCCUUGUACACACCGCCCGUCACACCAUGGGAGUGGGUUGCAAAAGAAGUAGGUAGCUUAACCUUCGGGAGGGC
RNAcentral lists this ribosomal RNA (1402 nucleotides) under Klebsiella sp. RNAcentral's name for it is "bacterial SSU rRNA". It matches the Rfam family "Bacterial small subunit ribosomal RNA". The record is from RNAcentral. Lineage: Bacteria; Pseudomonadati; Pseudomonadota; Gammaproteobacteria; Enterobacterales; Enterobacteriaceae.